AGCCUUGGUGAGGGUCUUGGCGGUCUAGUGGGUGUGCUCAGUUCUUACUGGCCUGCUAAGUCCCAAGCUAUGGU
Molecule: microRNA precursor, 74 nt
Filed under: Heliconius melpomene (postman butterfly)
Lineage: Eukaryota; Metazoa; Arthropoda; Insecta; Lepidoptera; Nymphalidae
Description: mir-193 microRNA precursor family
Source: Rfam by way of RNAcentral